This is a long non-coding RNA of Vicia villosa (hairy vetch), 966 nucleotides long. RefSeq lists it as uncharacterized. The record is from RefSeq and is a predicted model, not a curated record. The transcript has 3 exons. Lineage: Eukaryota; Viridiplantae; Streptophyta; Magnoliopsida; Fabales; Fabaceae.
AUUAGAAGACAAUUUCCAUAUCCACUCGUUCAUCUCUUUACUGAUAAGCCCUAAAAAAGUUCAUCCCAUCCCAGACUUCAAAUCUUGGUUUUCUUCUUCGUUUCCUUCUCCCCCGCCCUUCAUUCCUUCACCGUCGCAACCCACUACUCAAACCCUUCCAACCCAGAACUCAAACACUUCAAUUCCUUCACCGUCGCAACGAUCUUCUUCUUCAUCGCAACAAUCAUCUUCUUGACUGUAAACAAUCCUCUUCUUUUCUAUUCGAAUGCAAAUUUGGUGGGUACACAUUCAUAUAUGUUAGGUUCGAUAGCAGUCGAGGUUCUUCCAUUAGGUUACAUAACCUAUUGAACUGGAACCACCGUGACGGAGUUCGAAUGGUCACCAGAACCACCGUGACGGAGUUCGAAUGGCUACAUCGUCGAACCCUUCAAGUUUCUCGGAUAUCCAUGUGGAUGAAUUUUACUUGAAGGGUACCUUGGAUUUGGGGUCGUUGGCUCAAAUGAUGGCUUCUGACAAAAGGUUAGGAAAUAAAAACCAAGCUGGCAUGGGUGAACCCCUAUCUCAAUACGAAUCUCUUCAGGCACGGAUAAAGGCCAUGUCAUCUUCAAAUUCACCUCAAAAUCUCAGUCUGAAUGUGUCUGAUAUUGGUCUCAAUUCAUCCAUUCCAGAAGGGGUUGCUGGAAGCAUAAAGCGGUCUAUUUUGUCUGAGGGAGGUGUAUUGCAGGUUUAUUAAGUAAAGGUUUUGGAAAGAGGUGACACUUACGAGAUCAUUGAGCGAAUCUUACCCAAGAAGCAAAAGGUAAAGAAAGAUCCUGCAUCAAUUAAGAAGGAGGAAAUGGAUAAAAUUGGAAAGAUUUGGUUAAACAUUGUAAGAAGAGACUUACCAAAGCAUCAUAGGAAUUUUACUACUCUUCAUCGAAAGCAACUCAUUGAUGCUAAGAGGUGCUCAGAGUUCUGUUAAAGAGA